Equus caballus (horse) is the source of this 6333-nucleotide long non-coding RNA. NCBI's taxonomy places the organism in Eukaryota, Metazoa, Chordata, Mammalia, Perissodactyla, Equidae. The record is from Ensembl.
AGGAGAUACAGAAACAGGAAGCCAAAUAGAUUCAGGGUUUGUUUUGUUUCCUGGGAGAAAAACUACCUAGAAACUGGUCCUUUUUACUACCCAGUUCACAGUAUUUCCUGAGAUUAAUAAUGAUAUCUUGCAUUUGGGUGAUGCUUCAAAAUGUUUUCUUAAAGGUCUGUGUCAGAGAUUAGCUCACUUGACUCUCUAUUUUACAAUAAGGAAACUAAAGCUCAGAGAGGCAAAAGCUUGCCCAAUGUAUCACAUUCAGGAAAUGGGACCUCACAGAAGGGUACCCAGGCUUUCUAAUUUCGUAAGCCCUCUCAUCACACAGAGAAGACGGCAGAUCUACACCACUGAAAGGACAAAAGACAAAAGAAUGCUUGUGCCUCUGCCAGCCUAAUCCCUGGAAAUAAGACUUCUUUACUUCCGAGCGUUUUCCUGGGUCCUGCCUCGCAUCUGACCAGGGCAGGUGGCCUCCUCAUCACACUGCUGCCUCUGCUGUUGGCCCUGCUCAUGAAGCCACUAAACAUAUGGUCUCAGCUCUCUUGUCCUCCAAGAAAGACAACCACCACUGCUGCCUUUCUGAUCUCACGACCAAAGAGAAGAUGCUGUUCACCUCGAUCUAAGGCCCUAGGUCCUCAUUUCUUGCCUCCCAUUGGAGCUCAUCCAAGAUGGUUGACAAUGAGAAGAUAAACUCUCUUCAAGGAAAACUCCACACCUAGCCAAGAAGCUGUGAUUUUGCUUUAGGAACCAUUGAAACUCAUAACCCUAUAACACCAUAACCCAACAGAGUUUUUCUGCCUUAAGUAAUACCUCAUGUGAAUGCAGUCAUUCAGGUAAGUGUGUGCCAGCCUUAGCCAGUCUAGCUUCUUUUUAGUAGUAACAUGAAGUGGAGGAAGAAUUGGGCCUGUAAGACCUUCAUACCAUCUUCUCUAUCCUUGUUUUCCAUUUCAAAUACUCAUAGAGCGAGACAGACGACUCUGCAAAUAUGCAGUCCUUGGUACUUAUAGUAUGGCUCACAUCCAGUUUGUGAACAGAAACAUUUUCUUAAAACACAUCUGUGAAAGCUCUUCUAAAAAAUUUCCCAAUUUACAUUAUUAAACCUUAACUUUCCAUUCUGAAGCAUUUUCUUUGGAAGUUUUUCAUCGAGUUCAGGUUUUUCUUCCAAACAAUGAUUUGGUACUCUUCUCAUUUUUCCCUAGGAACAAAGUAACAGGCUUCCUCAAGGACUCCAGCCAGAAUGUAGGACUUUCUCUUAAUUUUAAAAGUCUUGUGGAGACUGUAAAUAGCAGAGACACCAGUGUGAAGAGGGGGCCACGAAGUUUUAAAAAAUCUCAAGUUUUAGAAUCCAGAGGAUCCUUUAAGAAACUACUCUAAAAUUCAAUGGCUGCCUUAAAACAACAUGAUUUAUUCUCAUGAGUCUCAGUUGGGUGAGGCUGGGCUCCAGAGUCUGGGUUGUGAGCUGCAGGCUGCAUGUUGUGUUCAGGCCUGCCACGUGUGUCUCAUUCUGAGGCCUAGGCUGAGGUUCAGUGGCUACUGAAGCAUAUUCUUCUCAUGGCAGAUCCCCUCAGCUCAAAAGCUUACCUCAAGUGCACAAGCACAUUUCAAGCUUCUACUUGAGCCACGCCCGCUAACAUCCUAUCUGUCAAAGGAAGACAUAUGGCUAAGCCUAGUGUCAAGAGGUGGGGAAGCUCACUUAGCCCUCCCCUCCACAAAGCUGUUACACUUCUAUUACAGAAUUCUAUUACAGAGGAGCGGUAAUUAUGUCUAGUAGUUCAAUUUCCUUUCCUGGACCACCGCAGACUUUGCCUAGUUCUCUAACUACUCUCUCUUGUGUCCAGCCUUGCCCCACAUGCUCAUCAUUUAUACCUGAUUUGGUCACUCCUCUGCUUAAAUCAAUACUUCCAUUACAUGAAGAAUUGAAACUUUUUAGUAAGACCAAUGAGUUCAUCCCGGUUAGUUCUAUAACGUGUUUUAUUUCCAUUAGUCACUCUCUCUCUCUCUCUCUCCCCUCACCCUCUAAAGCUUUGCUUCCAUCUACCUGUUACUUCUCUGAACAUCUAAACGUUUUUAAGGCUUGUGGUUUUAUGCGUGUUAUUUCUUCUCCAGAAAUUUACUUUAUUUAUCAAACAAAAGUUUAUUAAAUGUCCGUGAUGUGCCAGGCACCUGGAAAGAUUAGAGGUACGUUGGAGAACAAAUUAGAAUUUGGUCCUUCCCUCGGAGAGCUUACGGGAGAGUGAGGAAAUGCACCUGCCCAGCCUUUUUGCCACAGUGAACAUGAGUCAUCUUUUAGGAUGCAGAUGUGAUCACCUAUGCCUUUCUCUGUUUUCCCCAGAGGGAGUUAAGUUUUUCCUUUUUAAUGUUCUCAUACCACUUUGCAUCAGUGCAGCUAAAUAAUAUUUUGAGAUACAAAUUAAUGCUUUUUUUUCUUUCUGUAUUUCCCCCUUUCCCCUCCUCCCUAUUCUUUGUCUAAGGAUGUUUUGGGGAAAGAAGCCUCCUUGCCUCUCCAAAAAACCACAUAAAGCCAUCGGGACCAUUUUCCUAGGUGACUGUAGGAGAAAUAUCAAGAUAAAGUGAUGUGCAACCAGCAGGGGAGAAUCCAGGUGAAAGUGGUGAAGAACAUGGGAACCUCUCUCCCAGGUGAAAAGAAUUUCCUGGCCUGGGGAAAGAAGGAAGAGAAAGAGAUCUGUAGGUCCUGGGAGCAGAGAGGACCUCUAUGCUCCUUUCGGCAAUGCCCUGAAUAUGAUCAGUAAUAGUAACAACAAUGACAAUAGCAACAGCAAUGAUAAUGAGAGCAGCUGACUGCUACUGAACACUGACUAUGUACCAGGAAUUGUGCUAAGUACUUUAUGUUACAUUACCUCAAUUUUGUCCUCACAACAACUCUGGGAGGUAGGUAAUAUACAUAUCUCCACUUUACAGAUGAAAAUCUGAAGCUUAGGAAAUGGAAGAACAUCUGCCGGAGGUCACACAGACAUGGCACGUUCAUGAUGUGAAUCCAAGUGAUGCUGAAGUCAGCCUUCUUAAACAUUCACAAUUCUGCCCCUCUUCAGUGAGGCCUCCAAGACCAGCUGCCUGGGGAACUCAGGCAGAGAAAGCUAUCUGCAGCCAGAUAUGGGUCCUUCUAGUUGCGGCAUGUGGGAUGCCACCUCAGCAUGGCUUGAUGAGUGGUACCAUGUCCGCGCCCAGGAUCCGAACCCGUGAAACCCCGGGCCACCGAAGCAGAGCGCGCGGACCCAACCACUCAGCCACGGGACCGGCCCCUACAAACCUUGAUUUUAGAGUCUCAGUUCCUUUAAAAUUUUGGACAUGAACCCACCUGAACAACAACUACCAAAACUCCUCCAACUGGCUUCCAUUGCUGAACAGAUACAUUCCGAUUUCUCUGACAAGUAAAUGUAAAGUGUACAAUGAACCUGACCAGUGCUUUGACAAACAUCGUUGAAGUGUAAUGAGAUCUCUUUACGCUUUCUUUCUUUUCUGUUGUUACUAGGGCUUUCUUGUAAAUAAAUAAACCGCAUUAGUCAGUGUUGAGAAGACAUUCUCUCGUUCAUUAACUGGGAAAGGUAAAUUGAACUUAGGUGCUUUAAUUUCAGAAAAUUGUUUUGCUAAAAUUUUCUUAAUUUAUGUAACCUUUAUCAUAGGACACUCAUUCGUAAUUUUUUACUGUAAUGGUAUAAAAAUGAAAAUACCUUUUGAGAUCAUUACCCUAGUCCAUAUCUGUUAUGGGCUCAAUUGUGCCCCCCAAAAUUCCUAUGCUGAAAUUCUAACCCCUAGUACCUCAGAAUGUGACUGUAUUUGGAGACUGGGUCUAUAAGACGUGUUAAGGUAAAAUGAGGCCGUGAAAGUGGGCCCUUAUCCAAAAAAACUGGUGUCCUUCGAAGAACAGAGGGUUAGGACAGAGACGCACACAGAAGGAAGACAGUGUGACAACACGGGGAGAAGACGGCCAUCUGCAAGUCAGAGAGAGGCCUCAGGGGACAUCAACCCUGUGGACGCCUUGAUCUCUGAUUUCUAGCCUCCAAAGUCGUGAGAAAAAUAAAUUUCUGUCGUUUCAAUCACCCAGCCUGUGGUACUUCGUUAUGGCAGCCCUAGCAAAUUAAUAUAAUGUCUUAAAUUUGGCAAUAAUACUGUCUGACAGAGUAAGAAUUUCCUGUGUGAGUCUUUCCUUCUGCAAAAAUUAUCUUUAAUUCUUUUUAAAAUAAAACCAAAAUGUGACUGGCAAACUUUCUGUGCAUAAGUAUAUUAAAUAUUUUUUUCUGUAUGGACGAGUAUUCUUUUUGUUUUACUUUUUUUUAUCGCAGUAACAGUGGAUUAUAACAUUGUAUAGCUUUCAGAUGUACAUCGUAAUAUAUUUUGAAUUCUGUGUAGAUUACAUCAUGUUCACCACCCGAAAACUAAUUAUGGUCUAUCACUUCACAUGUGAGCCUAAUCACUCCUUGUGCCCUCCCACUUCCCCCUUCCCCCUUCCCCUCUGGUAGCUACCUAUCCAGUCUCCAUUGCUAUGUGUUUGUUUGUCAUUGUUUUUAUCUUCUACUUAUCAGUGACAUCAUAUGGUAUUUGACUUUCUCUCUCUGACUUAUUUCCCUUAGCGUAAUACCCUCAAGGUCCAUCCAUGUUGUCGCAAAUGGCCAGAUUUCACCAUUUCUUGUGGCUGAGUAAUAUUCCAUUGUGUAUAUAUACCACAUCUUCUUUAUCCAUUUGUAUGGAUGAAUAUUCUGUAACUCAGACAUGAGACAAAUCAAAUCAACCUUUGCCCUCAAUUGUAAUGAAUUAAGGAGAUCUUAUUGAAUAGUCCAUCACACAGAUAAUUUUUACAAAACUGGUUCUAGGACAACAUCUUCCAUAUUCAAUCAACUCUUAAGUCUUGUUGUUUUUACUACCUUUCUUAUAAAACACUGCAUUUCAUUACCUUAUUUUUCCCUUCUAGUUGUCACCACCCUAGUGAAGACACCAAUGUCUUUUCUGGGCUCAUCUAAUAAUUUCCCAAAUGUCCUCACCUAUGGACCCUCUCUACCUCCAAAAUUCAUUACAUAGACACUAGUUAUAAUUAUGACAUGAAAUUCUUUUUGUGGCAAUAUUCUUCAAUAGUUUCCCAUUAUCUACAAAAUAAAAUCUAAACUCCCUUCACAGUACAAUAGCAUAUGCUUCAUGAUGUAGCCUCUGCAUACUUGUUCUGCUUUGUGUCGCUCCUCAACCUCAACCCUUGUUUUACUCACUAAUACUUAUUACCUAUAGCUCCUGGACUGUAUUGGGAUUUUCCUUUUUUUUUUUUUUUCUUAUGCCUAUAUGUCUUUGCACAUAUGUUGUUCUUACUGCCUGUAAUGUUUUCCAAUAUUCUCUGACCAACUUCUUAUCCUUCAAGUUUUAGCUCAAAUAACAUCUUAUGUCUCAGUGUUCAAAUGUGCCUUCUGUGUUCCCAUGACACACAGUUUAUAGCUCCUUGUCUAUCUCCACAGCAGAUCAAUCUAUUUCUGCAUUUGUCUACUCAGUCCUUAGUAUCAUGCCUUCAUGGUGAAGGGACUUAAUGACUGCUUAUUAAGUGAAUACAAGGAUGAAGUGGGUAUGGCCUCAAAAAAUUGCUCAAAAGUAUUCAAAAGGCCUUACACUCACCACAAAGUCUCUAUGAAAAUGACCUUAAAGGAGUAUCACUCCGACAGGGUCAAUUUCCUUCCUGGGAAUAAUGUAAUUGGGGUUGUAUUACAGAAGAAGGACAUAGUCCCAGGUAAAUCACAGUUUUGACCACAUGGACAAGGCAAAGAUAUGACAAUUAUAAACUGAUAUAAUUAAUAAACAUUAAGCGCUAAAUUUUAUAAGAUGGCUAUAAACGUUCUAGAUAUAGUUGUAUUUAAUGUAAUAUAAUGUAAAUAUAACUAUUGAAUAAUAAAUUUGACAUUAAUUAAUUUUUCUGAAUCUUCUAAAAUAGAUUUAAGGCUUCUUUGAAAACAGGUAUAACAGCAGUGUCAUUAAAAUAAAAAUUCUACAAUUACCUACUUGAAGUAAGUUUGAAAGCAAUAUCAAGCAUUAACAAAAUAUUUAAUGUUAAAUGUCAUUUUUACUUCUUUAAAAUAAUUUAUUUUGGAAUUAGUGUGGAGUGGGCCUAUAUCUCUUUGAAAAGUAUCUGAAUUCACACACACAGCUGGUGGGGACGUAAAUUAGAAAACAUGACGUUUAGCUUUAUGUAUUUAAAUUCUCCAAAUUCUCAUAGUGUUUGACCGAGUAUUUGUGAUUCUGGAAGCUGAUCUUAAGAAACAAAUCAGACAUUUAAAAAUAUUCAUGAGCAAAUAUAUUUAUUGCAGCACUAUCUGAAAUUCAGAAAAUCAAUAAAGGGUUGGUUAAGAA